ACACCUCAACUCUUGUGGUUUCCCACAAUGAGCUUGGACCAUGGGGGUUUUUGUUGGCCUUCUGGCCAGCUCCUCUCAAAUGUAUCAGCUUACCGGUGUUUGGUGGCAUCAUGGGUGUGAUAACUAUCUACGCUCGUGGUUGUCUCCAAAUAACCUCCAGUGAUGGGGGUUCGCUGGAGCUUAUAAAUGUCUCUCCCUAGUGAAGACAGCCUUUGAAU
RNAcentral lists this unclassified non-coding RNA (218 nucleotides) under uncultured Tomentella. RNAcentral's name for it is "sequence contains ITS2". The record is from RNAcentral. Lineage: Eukaryota; Fungi; Basidiomycota; Agaricomycetes; Thelephorales; Thelephoraceae.